Non-coding RNA from Phrynosoma platyrhinos (Desert horned lizard), 72 nucleotides. The record is from the annotation of a GenBank genome assembly. Lineage: Eukaryota; Metazoa; Chordata; Lepidosauria; Squamata; Phrynosomatidae.
GCCAGUGUGGCAUAGUGGUUUGAGUGUUGGACUACGACUCUCGGGACCAGGGUUUGAAUCCCAGCUCAGCCA